CACACUCAUAUAGGAGUCCACCUGCCCAGUGACUACAAGUUCAACGGCCGCGGUAUUUUGACCGUGCAAAGGUAGCGCAAUCACUUGUCUUUUAAAUAGAGACCUGUAUGAAUGGCCAAACGAAGGCUUAACUGUCUCCCCUUUCAAGUCAGUGAAAUUGAUCUAUCCGUGCAGAAGCGGGUAUAAUAAUACAAGACGAGAAGACCCUUUGGAGCUUAAGGUACAAAAUUUAACCACGUCAAGCAACUUAAUAAAAAGCAAAAACCUUGUGGAACAUAAAACUUUACCUUCGGUUGGGGCGACCACGGAGCAAAGCAAAACCUCCAAGUGGACUGGGAUAAUUUUCCUAAAACCAAGAGAGACAUCUCUAAGCCACAGAACAUCUGACCAAGCAUGAUCCGGACACCAAGACCGAUCAACGAACCAAGUUACCCUAGGGAUAACAGCGCAAUCCUCUCCCAGAGUCCAUAUCGACGAGGGGGUUUACGACCUCGAUGUUGGAUCAGGACAUCCUAAUGGUGCAGCCGCUAUUAAGGGUUCGUUUGUUCAACGAUUAAA
Molecule: ribosomal RNA, 558 nt
Filed under: Garra cyrano
Lineage: Eukaryota; Metazoa; Chordata; Actinopteri; Cypriniformes; Cyprinidae
Description: LSU rRNA
Rfam family: Bacterial large subunit ribosomal RNA
Source: RNAcentral